Molecule: long non-coding RNA, 529 nt
Organism: Erigeron canadensis
Lineage: Eukaryota; Viridiplantae; Streptophyta; Magnoliopsida; Asterales; Asteraceae
Exons: 2
Source: RefSeq, a predicted model, not a curated record
GACGUGAGUAAACCAACAAAAAAAAACACCCUUGCUCCUUUUCUUUUCUCCUUUGUUUCUGCGCCAGGUAACACACACACAAACACUUCCAAAUUGUUCAUCUUUUCCUAAUGCAAUCUGUUUCAAAGGGGAAUAAAAAGGAGAUUUCAUUAAAAUGUUCUAAUAAUAAUCAUUUUGCAAGAGUCAAUCAAAGCAUGACGAUCUUCAUCAUAUUUUUCUAUUUUAUCUCAAGAACACAUCAAUUGGUUUUGGAUAGACAUGGAGACUAGAUUACUCAUUCUCAAGUCUGCUCGCCCUUUUAGCUCUAUGAUUGAUAAUGUGAGUUUGUGGCACCCUUUUUCCUUUUUACUUUGGGCCUGAAAAGCAUGUACUACUGUAUACACGACUACUUUAUAAAUGAUUUGUCUUUGUCUAUGCCAUGAGAUUUGGCUACUUAAAUCAUUUGCCUUAUGUUUGCCAUGUUGACGGCUACCUGAAAAUGUGUAUACAUUUCUUCUGAAAUAUUGAACUAAAUGACUUUGUCUUGCCA